UAUAGAUUUACAAAUCAAUAAACCAAUAACACCCCCUAAAAUUUGAAGGCUUUUAAUUAUUUUCUAUUUCUGGUUAUCUGGAAACAGUUUUGUAUGAAAAAGAAAACUUUUCCUAAUAAAAUUCAUUACUGUUAAUAUAGCUAGGCUAAGUCUUGGGAUACUAGAACGGAAACUGAAGACAAGGUCCUUUGGAGAGGAAAAUCUGAUGUUUUCAGGACUACUUUCUCUACUAGAGAUACUUGGCAUCAUACUCGUUCUACGUCAGCUAGGGUUCCAUGGCAUAAGGUGAUUUGGUUCAGUCAUGCCACCCCAAAAUACUCUUUCUGCUCCUGGCUUGCAGCACAUGGUAGACUCCCAACAGGCGAUCGUAUGAUCAAUUGGGCAAAUGGCACUGCAACAGACUGCAUUUUUUGCCAAGGGACUCUAGAAACACGGGACCACCUCUUCUUUACUUGCAGUUUCACUUCUGCAAUUUGGGUAGAUUUAGCGAGAGGAAUUUUCAAAACGCAGUACACUUCACACUGGCAAUCGAUAAUUGAAGCCAUUACAAACUCUCAGCAUCACCGUGUGGAAUGGUUUCUCCGCCGCUAUGUUUUCCAAGCCACAAUCUACAUUGUGUGGAGGGAGCGGAAUGGUAGGCGUCACGGCGAGCCUCCGAACACAGCAUCUCAACUCGUUGGUUGGAUAGAUAAACAAAUUAGAAAUCAGCUGUCCUCUAUCUGUUUCAAGGGGGACAAGCGUUAUGAUGGAAGUCUCCAAGUUUGGUUUCAGUCAAGAAGUUAAUCUCUUAGCUCUGUUUCUUUCUUUUGUUCAAAACUAUUCUCAGCUCUAAUUCUCAAAACCAAUCUGCACUUGUUGUAAAAACGUUUUUUUUUGGAAUAUAAUUUAACAUUAUUUUCAAAAAAAAAUAAAAAAUAAUAUAGCUAGGCUACUACUUUGCCACUGGUACACACUAAACGAAAAAU
This 965-nucleotide small RNA is filed under the name Arabidopsis thaliana (thale cress). Its description in RNAcentral is "ATSL196310". The record is from RNAcentral. Lineage: Eukaryota; Viridiplantae; Streptophyta; Magnoliopsida; Brassicales; Brassicaceae.